This 328-nucleotide unclassified non-coding RNA is filed under the name soil metagenome. RNAcentral describes it as "partial contains 5.8S ribosomal RNA, internal transcribed spacer 2, and large subunit ribosomal RNA". The stretch from base 1 to 120 matches the Rfam family "5.8S ribosomal RNA", at positions 35 to 154 of the family's 154-position model. The record is from RNAcentral.
GAUGAAGAACGUAGCGAAAUGCGAUAAGUAGUGUGAAUUGCAGAAUUCAGUGAAUCAUCGAAUCUUUGAACGCACAUUGCGCCCCUUGGUAUCCCGAGGGGCAUGCCUGUUCGAGCGUCAUUUCACCACUCAAGCCUGGCUUGGUGUUGGGCGACGUCCCCUUUGGGGACGCGCCUCGAAACGCUCGGCGGCGUGGCACCGGCUUUAAGCGUAGCAGAAUCUUUCGCUUUGGAAGUCGGGGCCCCGUCGGCCGGAAGACCUACUCGCAAGGUUGACCUCGGAUCAGGCAGGGAUACCCGCUGAACUUAAGCAUAUCAAUAACGGAGGA